Small nucleolar RNA from Osmerus eperlanus (European smelt), 65 nucleotides. RefSeq annotates it as small nucleolar RNA SNORD58. Lineage: Eukaryota; Metazoa; Chordata; Actinopteri; Osmeriformes; Osmeridae. The transcript has a single exon. The record is from RefSeq and is a predicted model, not a curated record.
UUGCGAUGAUGACAGCUUAGGACACCUUUGGAUUACCCAUGAAAAGAAAUUCAAAACUGAGCAAC